RNAcentral lists this ribosomal RNA (445 nucleotides) under uncultured bacterium. RNAcentral describes it as "partial 16S ribosomal RNA". It matches the Rfam family "Bacterial small subunit ribosomal RNA", at positions 354 to 796 of the family's 1533-position model. The record is from RNAcentral.
GUGAGGAAUAUUGGUCAAUGGGCGGGAGCCUGAACCAGCCAAGUCGCGUGAAGGAAGAAGGAUCUAUGGUUCGUAAACUUCUUUUGCAGGGGAAUAAAGUGCGGGACGUGUCCUGUUUUGUAUGUACCCUGAGAAUAAGGAUCGGCUAACUCCGUGCCAGCAGCCGCGGUAAUACGGAGGAUCCGAGCGUUAUCCGGAUUUAUUGGGUUUAAAGGGUGCGUAGGUGGAUUGAUAAGUCAGCGGUGAAAGUUUGCAGCUUAACUGUAAAAAUGCCGUUGAAACUGUCGGACUUGAGUGUAAAUGAGGUAGGCGGAAUGCGUGGUGUAGCGGUGAAAUGCAUAGAUAUCACGCAGAACUCCGAUUGCGAAGGCAGCUUACUAAGCUACAACUGACACUGAAGCACGAAAGCGUGGGGAUCAAACAGGAUUAGAUACCCGAGUAGUCC